CCGCAUGCACUCACGGAGUUAGAAUUUUUAAUAAGGGGUUCAAAAUUUGAAAAACUAAACACACGAGCUAAUAGAAGAAGUUCAACAUUUGUUAUAUAUACAUAAAAAAUAAUUUUAACCAGUAAUAUUUUCCGCCAAAGGAGUUCGGACAGAAGGCUGGCUCCAACUCUGACCGCAUGCCUGAAGCGUGUAUCGACUUAAUAUAAACAUCUGACUAUUCUUUUUGUGUGAAUUAAAAAAAGAAAUGCACCGUUUAAGCUAACAAGUCGAUCAAAUUUCAACAAAACGGGUAAAAUAUUGA
RNAcentral lists this long non-coding RNA (301 nucleotides) under Solanum tuberosum (potato). RNAcentral's name for it is "long non-coding RNA (STUB_LNC003840)". Lineage: Eukaryota; Viridiplantae; Streptophyta; Magnoliopsida; Solanales; Solanaceae. The record is from RNAcentral.